AUGGCGUCGGCGACUCCGACAGGCGGCGGCGGCGAUGGCGUCGGCGGCGGCGGUGACCUACCGUUUUGGCCGCCUAACGGCCCGGCUGGCAUCGACGGCGACGGAGACGACGACCCCAGCUCCGCGUACUCGAGCGACGACGAGGAGGAGUCGCUAUUACUCUUCAUGGACCAGCGGUUGCGGUUGGCGCAGCUGUGGGUGGCGAACCCUAGUAGCAGCCAUGAGUUGACGCAUGGACUCGGCGACGUGAUGUAUGUAUCCUUCUCCCCCUUCUCCUGUGAUUUAUCCAAUUGUGGAUUUUUAGGUUUGGAUGAAGACAUUUGGCAAGUAAGGAUCCAUUUUGAUGCAAGAGAACCAUUGAAGAUGAAGCUUUGUAGUUCAGAUAUUACUUAUCUGAAUUUGGUUGCAGUGAUGGAAACCCAAGGAUUUAAUGGAUAUGAUUGUUUGUUUCACAUUGAAAAUCCAUCUUUAGGAGAGAAAGGGCUGGAUUUGGUAGACAGUCAUGCAGAAUUACAGAUGAUAAAGAGGAAGCUCCAGGACAAAUUGGAGAUUAAUUUGCUAGAUCUGAGUGAGGCUCCUGUCUUAGCUGUUGAUCAACAAGGAGUAGUUUUUGAGAGUCAAUGUGGCAGCUCUAGCACACCCCAUCCUCCUGGUGUUUGCACACAAGAAAGCAAGAAUGCAAAUGCCAAGUCGAAUGCUUUUUUGGAAGAAGAAGAAGAGGGAUAUGAGGUAUAUGAGGACAGUGAUGCUUCUGCCUCUGAUGAGGAUGGUCAAAUUGGAAGUGAGCCUAAUUAUAUGUGUGAUGAUGAAGAUGUAGAGGUGGAAGAGGGGAAGAGACAGAGAGAGUUAGAAGUACAAGAGGAAGAAUCAGAUGAUGAGCUAUCAGAGGAGGAACCAGUGCUGCAUUAUGAGGGUGACACUGAAGUUGAAGACCCAUUUGAGGUACAGGAAGAUAGGACUUUUGAAGAAGAAGAAGAAGCAAAUAUAGUUGUACCUGUAAAGAAGCAGAAGCUGCCAGUUAGAAGAGGACCAACUACUAGGUCACAUUGCAAUAAGCUACCAAAGGUUGAGCCUGAUUUCAGACCAUCAUCAGAUGAAGAAGAGAAGGGGUUGUUGAGGGAGAGUGAUGAUGAUGGUUUUGAGCCACUAUCAUUUGUCCUAACAAAGAAAAGGAAGAGUAGGGCAAAGAAAAGGCCUGCUAGGAAGUGGUACAAUGAGAAAAUGGAGCAACCACAUGAACAAAUAUGUCUAAAGUUGUGUUUUAGGGAUCAUCAUCAAUUCAGAGAUGCUUUGUUGAAUUUGCACAUCACUCAGGCCAGGAAUUUCAGGUAUCAUAGGAAUUCAGAUCAGAGGAUAAUUGUUGAGUGUAGAGAUAAACAAUGCCAGUUCUUUAUGGUGGCAGCAGUUAUAAAAGGGGAGAAUACCUUUGUAAUUAAGAAGAUGAGACUAGAGCACACUUGGCCUAGUACUACUGAGACCACAAGGGUUAGUGUUAAGUGGCUAGCACAGAAAUAUGAGCAUCUCUUUAGAUCUGAUAUAACUAUAGGUAUUCAGACUAUAAUUGAUGCAUGCAUGGAAAAAUACGGUGUAGAUUUUCCCAAGUGCAUGGCAUAUAGGGCAAAGAACAUGGCUAUUGAUGCUGUGUUAGGAGAUCACAAGAAACAAUAUCCUAGGCUUAAAGACUAUGCUCAGACUUUCAUGGACACAAACCCUGGGAGCAGAGUAAUAGUCACUACUGUUACUCCGGUACCAACUGCAAGAAUACCCCACCCAGGCCCAAGAUUCCAUGCCAUGUUCUUUUGCAUGAAUGGAGCAAGGGAGGGGUUUCUCAAUGGGUGUAGGCCAUUCAUUGGUGUUGAUGGGUACUUCAUUAAGCUCACUACAGGUGCUCAACUCCUUGCUGCCACUGGUAGAGAUGGCAACAACAACAUAUAUCCACUGGCAUUUGGCAUAGUUGGACAAGAGGACAAAGCUAGUUGGUGUUGGUUUCCACACCAACUGAAAAUUUGCCUAGGGGGAGAAGUGGGCAAGUUUGGACCUUAUACUAUAAUGUCAGAUAGACAAAAGGGGUUACUGUAUGCAGUGAAUGCUAUGUUUCCAAAUUGCAACCAAAGGUUCUGCCUUAGACAUAUAUAUGCAAAUUUCCAAAAUGCUGGGUUUAGGGGUGAAGAUCUUAACAAGUGCAUGGAUAAUGCUAGCUAUGCCUACAAUGAACACAAAUUUAAUAUUGCAAUGAAUGAUCUUAGAGCUGAAAUGAACAACUUGUCUGAGGUGUUCAACAAGUACAUUCUAGAUAUUAGGAGAAAACCUAUAAGGACAAUGUGUGAUGGGAUAAAAGAUAAGCAGAUGGUGAUGUGGCACAGGAAUAGAGAGAGUGGAAAGGCAGCAAGAUGGGAGAUAACACCUCAUUACAGUGAGAAGCUAGAGGUUGAGAAGGAGAGGGCAAGAUACUGCAAGCCAAUACAGGCAGAGGUCAACUUAUGGCAAGUUACAAGUGGGCAGCAGACACAUGCUGUCAACCUGGAACUUGAGACUUGUGGAUGCAGGAAGUGGGACCUUAGUGGCAUACCUUGCAACCAUGCCAUCUCUGCAAUAAACAAGGCUAAAAGGAAACCAGAGGAUUAUGUCAGUAAAUUCUUCAAGAAAGAUUUUUAUGUUGCGGCUUAUGAACCAAUGAUAUUUCCUGUGCCUGGUGAGCAUGAUUGGGCUACUCCAAGUAACUCACAGCCAAGAGCUGCUGGCCCUUCUACUACACCACCAACAGCAAGACAGGCAAGAGCUGCUGCUUCUGCUCCUACACCACCAUCAUCUGGAAGAAGACAAGCUGGCAGAGGAAGAUCUGCUGCAAUUACCACACCACCACCAUCUGGAAGAGGAGCUGGCAGAGGAAGAGUUGACACUGGAGCUGGAAGAGUCUGGAGGCUUAAAGGUGCAACUGUUGCUGGAUCUGAAGAACAUUUUCCAAUGCUAUCUUCCAGUGAAGAUGAUGGCACAAGGGAGGCCAUGGUUCUGUCUCUGCAAGCUCAAGUCAGAGAGAAGAAUGCAGAGAUUGCUGGGAUUAGGGCCAAAUUUCACAAUGUGCUCUUUAUUUUCACUAUAUUUGUGCUUGGCUUAGUUGCAGGCAAGAUCUUAAGUUAACUGCAGAUGUCUGAAAUCCACCACCCUAUCCUCCUGGAAGUUCAUAAGCUAAUGCACAUCUUGGACUAG
This 3207-nucleotide ribosomal RNA is filed under the name Triticum aestivum (bread wheat). Its description in RNAcentral is "partial small subunit ribosomal RNA". The record is from RNAcentral. Lineage: Eukaryota; Viridiplantae; Streptophyta; Magnoliopsida; Poales; Poaceae.